GUGUCAGCCGCCGCGGUAAUACCGGCAGCCCGAGUGAUGGCCGAUAUUAUUGGGCCUAAAGCGUCCGUAGCUGGCCGGACAAGUCCGUUGGGAAAUCUGUCCGCUUAACGGGCAGGCGUCCAGCGGAAACUGUUCGGCUUGGGACCGGAAGACCUGAGGGGUACGUCCGGGGUAGGAGUGAAAUCCUGUAAUCCUGGACGGACCACCGGUGGCGAAAGCGCCUCAGGAGGACGGAUCCGACAGUGAGGGACGAAAGCUAGGGUCUCGAACCGGAUUAGAAACCCCUGUAGUCC
RNAcentral lists this ribosomal RNA (293 nucleotides) under uncultured prokaryote. RNAcentral describes it as "partial 16S ribosomal RNA". It matches the Rfam family "Archaeal small subunit ribosomal RNA", at positions 455 to 747 of the family's 1478-position model. The record is from RNAcentral.